GUGCCAGCAGCCGCGGUAAUACGUAGGGCGCGAGCGUUAUCCGGAAUUAUUGGGCGUAAAGAGCUCGUAGGCGGUUUGUCGCGUCUGCCGUGAAAGUCCGGGGCUUAACCCCGGAUCUGCGGUGGGUACGGGCAGACUGGAGUGCAGUAGGGGAGACUGGAAUUCCUGGUGUAGCGGUGAAAUGCGCAGAUAUCAGGAGGAACACCGAUGGCGAAGGCAGGUCUCUGGGCUGUUACUGACGCUGAGGAGCGAAAGCAUGGGGAGCGAACAGGAUUAGAAACCCCUGUAGUCC
Molecule: ribosomal RNA, 292 nt
Filed under: uncultured bacterium
Lineage: Bacteria
Description: partial 16S ribosomal RNA
Rfam family: Bacterial small subunit ribosomal RNA
Source: RNAcentral